This 819-nucleotide ribosomal RNA is filed under the name uncultured marine bacterium. RNAcentral's name for it is "bacterial SSU rRNA". It matches the Rfam family "Bacterial small subunit ribosomal RNA", at positions 56 to 924 of the family's 1533-position model. The record is from RNAcentral.
UGCAAGUCGAACGAAGUAGCAAUACUUAGUGGCAGACGGGUGAGUAACAUGUGGGUAUCUACCCUUUGGCCUGGAAUAACACGAGGAAACUUGUGCUGAUACUGGAUAAGUCUUUACGAAGAAAGCUUUAUGCACCAUUGGAUGAGCCCGCACUUGAUUAGUUUGUUGGUGGGGUAAUGGCCUACCAAGACUAUGAUCAAUAGCUGAUUUGAGAGGAUGAUCAGCCACAUUGGGACUGAGACACGGCCCAAACUCCUACGGGAGGCAGCAGUGGGGAAUCUUGCACAAUGGAGGAAACUCUGAUGCAGCGAUGCCGCGUGAGUGAAGAAGGCCCUUGGGUUGUAAAGCUCUUUCGUCGGGGAAGAAAAUGACUGUACCCGAAUAAGAAGGUCCGGCUAACUUCGUGCCAGCAGCCGCGGUAAUACGAAGGGACCUAGCGUAGUUCGGAAUUACUGGGCUUAAAGAGUUCGUAGGUGGUUGAAAAAGUUGGUGGUGAAAUCCCAGAGCUUAACUCUGGAACUGCCAUCAAAACUUUUCAGCUAGAGUUUGAUAGAGGAAAGCAGAAUUUCUAGUGUAGAGGUGAAAUUCGUAGAUAUUAGAAAGAAUACCAAUUGCGAAGGCAGCUUUCUGGAUCAUUACUGACACUGAGGAACGAAAGCAUGGGUAGCGAAGAGGAUUAGAUACCCUCGUAGUCCAUGCCGUAAACGAUGUGUGUUAGACGUUGGAAAUUUAUUUUCAGUGUCGCAGCGAAAGCGAUAAACACACCGCCUGGGGAGUACGACCGCAAGGUUAAACUCAAAUGAAUUGACGGGGACCCGC